CACGUAGGGGGCAAGCGUUGUCCGGAUUUAUUGGGCGUAAAGAGCUCGUAGGUGGCUGAGUAAGUCGGAUGUUAAAUCCCCAGGCUCAACCUGGGACACCACCCGAUACUGCUCUGGCUAGAGUCCGGUAGGGGAGCGUGGAAUUCCUGGUGUAGCGGUGAAAUGCGCAGAUAUCAGGAGGAACACCAGCGGCGAAGGCGGCGCUCUGGGCCGGUACUGACACUGAGGAGCGAAAGCGUGGGUAGCAAACAGGAUUAGAUACCCUGGUAGUCCACGCCGUAAACGUUGGGCACUAGGUGUGGGGUCUAUUCAACGGACUCCGUGCCGUAGCUAACGCAUUAAGUGCCCCGCCUGGGGAGUACGGCCGCAAGGCUAAA
This 377-nucleotide ribosomal RNA is filed under the name uncultured bacterium. Its description in RNAcentral is "bacterial SSU rRNA". It matches the Rfam family "Bacterial small subunit ribosomal RNA", at positions 524 to 898 of the family's 1533-position model. The record is from RNAcentral.